RNAcentral lists this ribosomal RNA (465 nucleotides) under Vreelandella stevensii. Its description in RNAcentral is "partial 16S ribosomal RNA". It matches the Rfam family "Bacterial small subunit ribosomal RNA", at positions 338 to 795 of the family's 1533-position model. The record is from RNAcentral. Lineage: Bacteria; Pseudomonadati; Pseudomonadota; Gammaproteobacteria; Oceanospirillales; Halomonadaceae.
CCUACGGGUGGCUGCAGUGGGGAAUAUUGGACAAUGGGCGAAAGCCUGAUCCAGCCAUGCCGCGUGUGUGAAGAAGGCCUUCGGGUUGUAAAGCACUUUCAGUGGGGAAGAAAGCCUUGGGGCUAAUACCCUCGAGGAAGGACAUCACCCACAGAAGAAGCACCGGCUAACUCCGUGCCAGCAGCCGCGGUAAUACGGAGGGUGCGAGCGUUAAUCGGAAUUACUGGGCGUAAAGCGCGCGUAGGCGGUCUGAUAAGCCGGUUGUGAAAGCCCCGGGCUCAACCUGGGAACGGCAUCCGGAACGGUCAGGCUAGAGUGCAGGAGAGGAAGGUAGAAUUCCCGGUGUAGCGGUGAAAUGCGGAGAGAUCGGGAGGAAUACCAGUGGCGAAGGCGGCCUUCUGGACUGACACUGACGCUGAGGUGCGAAAGCGUGGGUAGCAAACAGGAUUAGAGACCCUUGUAGUC